AGCAGCCGCGGUAAUUCCAGCUCCAAUAGCGUAUAUUAAAGUUGUUGCAGUUAAAAAGCUCGUAGUUGAAUUUCGGGAUCAAUGUGUUGGUCGUGCCUUGGUACGUACUGGCAUUAUCGAUUCCUACCUUCUGAAGAACCUCGAUGUCAUUAAUUUGGUGUCUUGGGGAAUCAGGACUGUUACUUUGAAAAAAUUAGAGUGUUUAAAGCAGGCUCGCGCUUGAAUACAUUAGCAUGGAAUAAUGAAAUAGGACGUUUGAUUCUAUUUUGUUGGUUUCUAGGAUCGACGUAAUGAUUAAUAGGGAUAGUUGGGGGCAUUAGUAUUCAAUUGUCAGAGGUGAAAUUCUUGGAUUUAUUGAAGACUAACUACUGCGAAAGCAUUUGCCAAGGAUGUUUUCAUUAAUCAAGAACGAAAGUUAGGGGAUCGAAGACGAUCAGAUACCGUCGUAGUCUUAACCAUAAACUAUGCCGACUAGGGAUCGGAUGAUGUUAAUUUUUUAAUGACUCAUUCGGCGCCUUAC
This 520-nucleotide small RNA is filed under the name uncultured Glomus. RNAcentral describes it as "SSU rRNA". It matches the Rfam family "Eukaryotic small subunit ribosomal RNA", at positions 569 to 1091 of the family's 1831-position model. Lineage: Eukaryota; Fungi; Glomeromycota; Glomeromycetes; Glomerales; Glomeraceae. The record is from RNAcentral.